Humulus lupulus (European hop) is the source of this 163-nucleotide long non-coding RNA. RefSeq lists it as uncharacterized. The transcript has 3 exons. The record is from RefSeq and is a predicted model, not a curated record. Lineage: Eukaryota; Viridiplantae; Streptophyta; Magnoliopsida; Rosales; Cannabaceae.
UACAAUCUCCAUUUUGGUCGUGCUUGUUUGUUUUUAUAUCUCGACAUAACAAGAUGGUUGUUCUUGCUGCUUCCAUCGUAACCAAGUCUGGGAAAGUACUUGUUUCUAGACAAUUUGUGAACAUGUCUCGCAUAAGAAUAGAAGGUCUUCUUGCAGCUUUCCC